Molecule: unclassified non-coding RNA, 279 nt
Filed under: plant metagenome
Description: partial contains small subunit ribosomal RNA, internal transcribed spacer 1, and 5.8S ribosomal RNA
Source: RNAcentral
UUUCCGUAGGUGAACCUGCGGAAGGAUCAUUAUAGAGUAACCGAGCUUCGAGGUCUAUCGCUCACCCUUUGUUUCUAUUACCCCUGUUGCUUCUGCAGGCCCGUCUUCGCACCACCGGCUUCGGCUGGUCAGUGGUUGCCAGAGGACCCAAAACGAUUAUUAUUUACGUCGUCUGACUACUUUAGUAUAGUUUAAACAUUCAACAACUGAUCUAUUCGUUCUGGCAUCGAUGACGAACGUAGCAAAUCGGAAGAGCACCUGUCUGAACCAUAAUCACCA